Molecule: transfer RNA, 65 nt
Filed under: Namalycastis abiuma
Lineage: Eukaryota; Metazoa; Annelida; Polychaeta; Phyllodocida; Nereididae
Description: tRNA-Lys
Source: RNAcentral
CCCCUGGAAGCUUGCAUCAGCAAAGAACUUUUACUUCUUAAACAGAGACCCAUACUCCCAGAGGA